Molecule: transfer RNA, 53 nt
Filed under: Equus asinus (donkey)
Lineage: Eukaryota; Metazoa; Chordata; Mammalia; Perissodactyla; Equidae
Also listed under: 1 other name
Source: Rfam by way of RNAcentral
GGCAGAGUGGGAAGCCUUGUAGUCAGAUGUGGGUUCAAAUCCUACCUCUGCCA